This 1000-nucleotide long non-coding RNA is filed under the name Cyanistes caeruleus (blue tit). RNAcentral's name for it is "lncRNA (ENSCCEG00000018354.1)". The record is from RNAcentral. Lineage: Eukaryota; Metazoa; Chordata; Aves; Passeriformes; Paridae.
UGCACUUGGAAGAGAUUCAAUGCAGUCCUUAACUGUAAAAGGUUAAGCUAUCCAGAAAGGCAGCAUUGUCUGCUAGCUUUCUUUGGCAUGAACCUGGGGAGAAAGAAAAUCCUGGAACCACCAUAGAACCCUUCUUCACAGCAGAAUUUCUCUACUGAAAUUCUUACAGAUGUGUGUGAGAUAUCUGGGAAUAUAAGAACCGGUUACUUCUACCAGCUGAACUGAGAAGAAUGAGCUGGAACCUCAUGCUGGAAUUCAAAGUAUCCACCACAGACUCAUUGAGUGUGACACUGUUUUCUUUUAGGAGCUCUCAGGGACUUGAAAUCCAUGGAAAAUUUGCUUUCAAACUAUGCCAGCUCCUCCACAUGUGUGCCUUAAAUAAUCCCCACUUAAUGAUUUCUUUGGAAGGUGCCUGUAGCAAUUCAAUAUUUACCUGUUUUACCUGCCAGGUUAAAGUGCUGCUGAGACCUCAACCUCCACUGUUGUUAAUUAUUGAAACAAAUGGAUUAAACGAAGCUGGCAACUGUGAUGAGGGUGUUAACGCUUGUGCUUGCACGAGAAUUCAGAAUAUGCAGUAACUAUAACUUAGUUAAAUGCUCGAUGAGUAGCAUGUUAAUUACAUCACAUACUUCUUCUGUGCUGUAAAACUUCGAUGCUCACACAGAGCAUUUGAAAGACAAAUCUCAGUGCUCUCACAUUAUUUCAUUUCCUACUGUGCUAAUUUUUUUUCCCCCCCUAUCUUUGUGCACUUUCAUUCCCUCUUUCAGUGAAAGGAGGUUUUUUUUUGAUUCCUACUAGUCCUUGUAGGUUUUGGACAUUUCUACCUCAUUUAAUUUUUGGUUUUAUUUUGGGGGAGUUAUGGGGGAAAGCUGGAAAAUGAGAGAUGACAAAACAGCAUUUUGUUAUGCAGCGACAGCUGGCUGAGACAUAAUUUGCUUUUGGAUGAAUAAUACUAGUAAAAAAAAAUAAAAAAAAAAAUAAAAAAGGUAUUCUGAAAUAC